CCUGAUAACAGAAAUAGCUCUCCUGGCUAGAUAUAUCAAGUCUAUGGUCCAAAGGGAAGAACAAUGAAGACAUUGAUUUAUGCUUUAUUUGUAUUCUUGUGGCUGCAUCUGAGCUUGGUCAGCCAAGGAGAGAAGGUGGAGCAGCAUCCUUCUACUCUGAGUGUCCAGGAGGGAGACAGCGCUGUUAUCAACUGUAGUUAUUCAGACGGUGCUUCAGCCUACUUCCCUUGGUAUAAGCAAGAAGUUGGAAAAGGUCCCCAGCAUAUUAUAGACAUUCGUUCAAAUAAGGAGAUAAAUCACAUCCAAAGAUUCAUUGUUGUGUUGGAUAAGAAAGCCAAACACUUCUCCCUGAACAUCACAGCCACCCAACCUGGAGACUCAGCUGUCUACUUCUGUACAGCUGAUGCAUGA
Molecule: non-coding RNA, 411 nt
Organism: Marmota monax (woodchuck)
Lineage: Eukaryota; Metazoa; Chordata; Mammalia; Rodentia; Sciuridae
Source: the annotation of a RefSeq genome assembly